CCUACGGGAGGCAGCAGUGGGGAAUAUUGGACAAUGGGGGGAACCCUGAUCCAGCGACGCCGCGUGAGUGAAGAAGUAUUUCGGUUUGUAAAGCUCUAUCAGCAGGGAAGAAAAUGACGGUACCUGACUAAGAAGCCGCGGCUAACUACGUGCCAGCAGCCGCGGUAAUACGUAGGGGGCAAGCGUUAUCCGGAUUUACUGGGUGGAAAGGGAGCGUAGACGGUGCAGCAAGUCUGAUGUGAAAGGUCGGGGCCCAACCCCGGGACUGCAUUGGAAACUGUUGAACUGGAGUACAGGAGAGGUAAGCGGAAUUCCUAGUGUAGCGGUGGAAUGCGUAGAUAUUAGGAGGAACACCAGUGGCGAAGGCGGCUUACUGGACUGUAACUGACGUUGAGGCUCGAAAGCGUGGGGAGCAAACAGGAUUAGAUACCCUUGUAGUC
This 440-nucleotide ribosomal RNA is filed under the name uncultured bacterium. RNAcentral describes it as "partial 16S ribosomal RNA". It matches the Rfam family "Bacterial small subunit ribosomal RNA", at positions 338 to 795 of the family's 1533-position model. The record is from RNAcentral.